CCUACGGGAGGCAGCAGUGAGGGAUAUUGGUCAAUGGGGGAAACCCUGAACCAGCAACGCCGCGUGAGGCAAGACGGUUCUCGGAGUGUAAACCUCUGUCCUCUGUGAAGAUAAUGACGGUAGCAGAGGAGGAAGCUCUGGCUAACUACGUGCCAGCAGCCGCGGUAAUACGCAGGGAGCAAGCGUUGUCCGGAUUUACUGGGUGUAAAGGGUGCGUAGGCGGCUUUGCAAGUCAGAAGUGAAAUCCAUGGGCUUAACCGAUGAACUGCUUUUGAAACUGCAGAUCUUGAGUGGAGUAGAGGUAGGCGGAAUUCGCGGUGUAGCGAUGAAAUGCGUAGAGAUCGGGAGGAACUCCAGUGGCGAAGGCAGCCUACUGGGCUCUAACUGACGCUGAGGCACGAAAGCGUGGGUAGCAAACAGGAUUAGAUACCCGUGUAGUC
This 440-nucleotide ribosomal RNA is filed under the name uncultured bacterium. RNAcentral describes it as "partial 16S ribosomal RNA". It matches the Rfam family "Bacterial small subunit ribosomal RNA", at positions 338 to 795 of the family's 1533-position model. The record is from RNAcentral.